GGGGUCGUGCACGCCCUGGGUGUCCUCGUACAAUCCACCCCCUCACCUUUGUGCAUCACCGCGUGGGCCUCCUUUGAAAGGGGGGCUUGCGUUUUUUUUUCACACACACAAACUUUGUCGUGUAGAACGCCUUCAUUUUUGCGGUCACACGCAAUCAAUAUAACUUUCAACAACGGAUCUCUUGGCUCUCGCAUCGAUGAAGAACGCAGCGAAAUGCGAUACGUAAUGUGAAUUGCAGAAUUCAGUGAAUCAUCGAAUCUUUGAACGCACCUUGCGCCCCUUGGCAUUCCGAGGGGCACACCCGUUUGAGUGUCGUGAAAUCCUCAACCUCCUUCCCUUUUCUGGGAAGGAAGGCUUGGACUUUUGGAGGCUUCUGCUGGCCCUGAAAGCCGGCUCCUCUUAAAGAAAUCAGUGGGAUCCCGUCCGCCGAUCCUCGACGUGAUAAGCCUUUUUGACGUCGUCUACGGGGAGAGGCAGAGGCCCACUUUCUAAACAAAACGAAAUGACCCUUUUGACCUCAAAUCGGGUGAGACUA
RNAcentral lists this ribosomal RNA (535 nucleotides) under Lactifluus sp. G1858. Its description in RNAcentral is "eukaryotic LSU rRNA". The stretch from base 162 to 315 matches the Rfam family "5.8S ribosomal RNA". Lineage: Eukaryota; Fungi; Basidiomycota; Agaricomycetes; Russulales; Russulaceae. The record is from RNAcentral.